GAAGUACUCCCUCCGUUCGGAAUUACUUGUCUGGGAAAUGGAUGUAUCUAGAACUAAAAUAUAUCUAGAUAUAUCUAUUUCUGCAACAAGUAAUUCCGAACGAAGCGAGUACUCA
This is a non-coding RNA of Triticum urartu, 115 nucleotides long. NCBI's taxonomy places the organism in Eukaryota, Viridiplantae, Streptophyta, Magnoliopsida, Poales, Poaceae. The record is from Rfam.